Molecule: ribosomal RNA, 498 nt
Filed under: uncultured bacterium
Lineage: Bacteria
Description: partial 16S ribosomal RNA
Rfam family: Bacterial small subunit ribosomal RNA
Source: RNAcentral
GAUGAACGCUGGCGGCGUGCCUAAUACAUGCAAGUCGAGCGAACGGACGAGAAGCUUGCUUCUCUGAUGUUAGCGGCGGACGGGUGAGUAACACGUGGAUAACCUACCUAUAAGACUGGGAUAACUUCGGGAAACCGGAGCUAAUACCGGAUAAUAUUUUGAACCGCAUGGUUCAAAAGUGAAAGACGGUCUUGCUGUCACUUAUAGAUGGAUCCGCGCUGCAUUAGCUAGUUGGUAAGGUAACGGCUUACCAAGGCAACGAUGCAUAGCCGACCUGAGAGGGUGAUCGGCCACACUGGAACUGAGACACGGUCCAGACUCCUACGGGAGGCAGCAGUAGGGAAUCUUCCGCAAUGGGCGAGAGCCUGACGGAGCAACGCCGCGUGAGUGAUGAAGGUCUUCGGAUCGUAAAACUCUGUUAUUAGGGAAGAACAUAUGUGUAGGUAACUGGGCACAUCUUGACGGUACCUAAGCAGAAAGCCACGGCUAACUACGUGC